Galdieria sulphuraria is the source of this 86-nucleotide transfer RNA. It matches the Rfam family "tRNA". From Rfam's summary of the family: Transfer RNA (tRNA) molecules are approximately 80 nucleotides in length. NCBI's taxonomy places the organism in Eukaryota, Rhodophyta, Bangiophyceae, Galdieriales, Galdieriaceae. The record is from Rfam.
GCGGCCGUAACUCAGCGGUUAAGAAUUCCGUCAAGAGUGCUUGCUUUACACGCAAGAAGUCGAGGGUUCGAAUCCCUCCGGCCGUA